RNAcentral lists this ribosomal RNA (231 nucleotides) under Triticum aestivum (bread wheat). Its description in RNAcentral is "partial small subunit ribosomal RNA". Lineage: Eukaryota; Viridiplantae; Streptophyta; Magnoliopsida; Poales; Poaceae. The record is from RNAcentral.
AUGUCAGAUGCAAAGCCCCGCACCUCAUUAAGAUCACAUUGGCAUACUCUCCUAAAAAAGAGAAGACCCUUGAAGACAGGAGUGAGGUACAAUAAGUCCAUUUGCGUCCACCUUCUCACGGAGCCGUACGCGGACGUUACCUCUCAUACAGCUCCCAGCCAGCAAGCAGUUAGCUUUCCUCUAGAAGUCAUGGAAGUGUGGAUAAAUCGACAAAAGGUUUUUAUUUCUUAA